UAGAGUUGAAAACUUCAUUGACGUCACCUACUUUCCUAUUUCCGGAACUAUGAGCAAGUAAAGUAAUAGCAGCCACACGAAAUGAGAUUUGUAUUGGGUACAUGAAGUUUUCAACGAGAACAAACACUACCCUGACAAGAAGUUUGGUCCACUACAGGCUCUAAUUGGAUUAUAAACUGCAUUCAUACAAAGAUUUUAUGAAUGGAGGACUACAAGUAUCUGUUUAAGGUAGUUCUGAUUGGAAAUGCUGGUGUGGGAAAAACUUGUCUCGUGAGUCGAUAUACAAAGGGGUUUUUCCCUCCUGGACAAAUGGCUACCAUUGGAGUGGAUUUUAUGAUAAAAACAGUUGAAAUUGAUGGCGACAAAGUAAAACUGCAGAUCUGGGAUACUGCUGGUCAGGAGAGAUUCCGUUCGAUCACCCAGAGUUACUACCGUUCAGCUAAUGCUCUUAUUCUGGUAUACGAUGUCUGCUCCCAGCAAUCAUAUGAAAGCUUACCUCACUGGAUACAUGAAAUUGAGUUAUAUGCUGGAACCAAAGUUCUUUCAUAUCUUGUUGGUAACAAGAUUGAUCAAGCAGACAAACGUGAGAUCCCAACACAUGUUGGUCGAGAAUUUGCUGAACGCUAUGAAAUGCGGUUUUUGGAAACAUCAGCUAAAGAAGCUGACAAUGUGGAAAAGCUGUUCUGCUCUAUUGCUCACCAGCUAACUGCCCAAGCACGAGAUUUGGAACUAAGGCCAGAACAGCAGAAUACUUUUGUCACAGGAGGCUCAACUCCAAUAUCACCUCCUGGUUGUUGUAAAUUUUGAUGACGUGUCACUGGAUCAGUUGCCCUUGGUAUAGAAGUUUCUUUGCAGCUCUUCUUGAAUGUGAAGGAGUCCCAUGAUUCACCUGGUGGAUGACAAACACUGAUAGUAGUCCUUGGAAAAUAUUCACGAGUGCAUACACAGUUAAAAGGAUAAAAAGCAUUAUCUGUUUACAGUUUCCUUAGUACUUGUAAUCGAAAAACUGAGUUUGAUUAAGUGAUAACGUUUAGAAAACAAAAUGCUCAUUAUGGAUAGAUUUACUGUUUUGCAUUUAUUGUGUGUGUGCACACUUAUAUGCAUGAAUGCUUACUCUUACAGACAGAAAUCCAUGCUUGUGUAAAAGUGUGCACAUGGAUUGUUGCAUAUGUUUUCAUAUAUGGAAUUUGAUACAGGUGAAAUAUGUGCCUAGGUUUCUUUGUAGAGUCUGUAAAAAGAAAUAUGUUUUUGGUAAUUUUUUUUCCCCUGCCUGAAUAUAGAGAAACAUUCCAAGCCAGUGAUAUUCUUUAUUUGGCUUAGUUCUCAACAAAAUUUGUUUUUCAGUUUUGCACAAGAGCGUUUGGACUAAAACCUCAGACACAUGAAAAAUGUGAAACCAUGUUUUUCCUGUUUGCUGAGACCUACACUGCGAACAAAAUAAUUUGGCAAACCUGUUUGGAUCUUGCUUGUGGCUUGUUUGCCGCUUCAGAACUCGUUCUAAAAUUUUGCAUGGGUUUUCAGUUUUUCAACAUGGCUUCCAUGGCCACUUGCCAAUUUGACUGAAUUGAAUUUCUGUUAAGUGAAUUAUUUAUAAAUUGAUCUUGAAUUAUGGGUCCUUCAAACUUUGUUGUUUCUCACAAAAGACUUUUUAGAAAAAACAAUCUUUAGGUCCAUUUGGCAGGCAGUAUUGGGCCAGGGCUUCUGCUUACACAAAAAAUUGCGUACAGUACGCAUUAAAAGUUCGGAGGACCCCUUCAAUUUUCGUCAAUGGGGUCCCAUUCAAAUUUGGGCGAAGAACAGGGACCCCUUAAAAAUCUGAAGAAAGGGUCCCUGGGACCCCAUAGAAUUUAGCCUUAGCAGGAGCCACUUUGGAGAUUUGACAACAUCACUUCAAAACUUCAUUGUAGAUUUUAAAAAUAAAGUUACAGUGUGCUGGUAUAAAAUGUUUGCUGUGGCUGGGUAUUAUAUGCUUUGCUGACACCAUAAAGUUGUAAAACAAGCUCAGAAUUAAGAGAAAAGUUAUGCUCUCAUGGUUAAAACUAAGUACUUAGUGCUGAUACUAGAGGUAGCAGCGCUUGAAGCCUAUGUUGUGUAGUCGUUAACUGUAGCUCAAGGCAGGAGAUUUAUCUUCUCAGUGUGGUUUUUUUUCCUCCUGAAACAGCUAUAAUUUGACUCCGCCUAUAAUACCUUUUUCAGCAUGAUUCAUACAAAAAGAUUCAUGUUGCUGACAGUCUAAUUUAGACACAACUGCUGAAAUGACAGAUUUUACUUGCCUUGCAAUGAUUUUAUUGCUAGAACAAUGCGUUCAGUAAUAGGUUUACACUAUAAAUUAAUCACUCCUUAAUCUACAAAUACAGCCACAGCAGAAGAUAUAAGCCCACAUUAUGGAGGUCUAAGUGUUAAAAGCAAAUGUGCACCAUUAUUUACUUUAUUUCAUUGCUUUGAGAGAUAUAUGUACACACACUAACAUGAGCAGAUUAGCAUCUGUGAACAGUUACUGUCGUACACAUAGUUUCCCAAAUGGCAUACUUGAAGGUUUGCUGUGUGAUUAGCAGUUGCAAAAACUGGUUUGUGAAGCAGUCGGCAAGCAGGCUUGGCAAACCGCUGUUUUUGAAAAACAGGUUUGCCAAACUAUUUUUGGUUUGUUGUGCAUCUGAACCUUUACAGAAUGUCAGUCCCUCAUCAUUUUGACAGAGUGGACUUUUCUCCCUUUUGGAUGCUUGGUGGUCAUUUGUAGUGAAAAUCCUUUUAUGCUGGGAGAAUGGAUAGUCUAGUCGUUAAAGAAAUAUCAUCUGAACUUGAAGCUCUAACACAGGGUACUUAUAGUCAACCCAGCUGAAGAGUGAGUACCUGAUUUAAAUUGGAUAUUUGAAAAAUUAAGAAAUGAUGCACCAUCCUAAGGGGAAAUCGAGACUAAAAGACAAACUUUUCCUGAAGAUUUGAAUUUAUUUAUGGUAUUUUUUGCUCUCCAUAACAGUAUUUUGCUUAUUGCUAAUCAAAUCAAACACUGUUGAAAAAAGCUUGAGCAAUUUUAGAGGUCAAGAUAUGAUUGAAAUGUUUGGAUAUGGUCAUGUUUUGUAUUCUCUAUCCUGUUGUCUUCUAUAUGUAACCCAUUAACAAAUUCCAAGUUACUCGAUGCUAUCACAUUAUCCGUAUUCUAUUGUCAUUGUCCCCUAAUACUUAUUGACAGUACAACUUGACUCAUUCAGUUUUGUGUACAAAUAUUAGUGGCCUCUAAUUUGUCACAUUCAAUAAUGUUCACUCCAAAAGUAUGUAAACAAACAGGGAUGAAAUCUGACCAUUUAACGAGUCAUUUUAAAAUAGAGUUACAUCCCUUAACAAACAGAAAGAUUUGAUUGGAAUUGAAAAAUUUUUCUAGGUGUAUUUUUUUCUUAAAAAGUCAUGUAAACAUGAUAGUGAUAGCACAUAUCAAGAAGGCCAUUGACUUUUUCUUUAUUUUUGAGCCAGUUUCAUAGUCUAGAGCUAUUCUUCCUGAUCACAAAUUAUGUUUCUGUAUGGUGUGUGACCAUUAGAAUUCACUUCCUAGACAUCACACAGGUCAUACAUUUUCUGUAAUAUUGUGUCCAAAAAUUACUGAUAGAUUUAGAAGAUUUUCACGAUGGACCGGGGAGUAGCUUAUGUCCACUUUCUUUAAACUUUAUAUUUUUUUUUAUUUGUCCUGUUUAUUUUUUAUGAAAAAAAUCAGGGAUAUCUGAGUACUUUCAUGAACGUCAAGGUCACAUGUCGAUAUGAACACAGAUUAAUGUAUGUAUGAAGGGGUGUGGUUGUGUAGGUUUUCAGUGUAAUCUACCCACAUUGACAUUCUGUGCUGCAUAUUGUCUCUGGGGCUCAGGGUAGCUACAUCCCUGCCUCAUGGAUUAAACAGCUGUCAUUAUCCACUCCUUUUAAAAGUGGCAUUUAUCAAUCAAAAUAGUUUUUAUUUAGCGUGCAUAUAGGUAUAGCUUGUGUAUAUAUACUUAGGCAUGUUUUUGCAUGGAUGCAUGUGAGUUGUAAAACAAGGGAGUGAUAUGCUUUGCAGAAGAACACUUUGAUAAAGCUAAAAGGUUAUGUAAAUAUUAUAAGAACACUAAAAAAAUCUUUGUAUAUGCAGAUACAUAGAAGUGUAUAGAUGUGUAUAUUCAUGCAAACUACUGUGGGUAUGGGUGGUUGCUGGGAUGCAUGUAUGUAUUGUUUGAUCAAAAUUGCAAAAUCUUCCACAGUUUUUUUUUUUUUUUUUUUUUUUAAUUUUAGCUAGUCAUGUGGAUUUUCUUCACAGUGAAUAGUGGAAGUCUGCAUUUAUUUGGUAUUGCAAUCCACAUUCAUGUUUAUCCACUUCCACAGCCUGUCUUUUUAUGUGGCAGUAGAACCUGUUGAUUUGUUGAUGUUUUUCAGCCACAUGAUAUUAUGCCUAAAAAUGCUCAUAGCACACUGCCAUUUUAAUUUUCUAUUUGCUGCUAUUUUUUUCUUGUUCCAGUAUUAUGCUAAUGAAUUUGAAACACUGUCUAUGGCACUAAGAUUUGUGUAAUUGUCCUCGGCUUUACAGUUCAUAUGCUUUAGGGUCUUGUGAUCAAGGAGUGGUCCAUACAUAUUUUUAAGACCUACCUUGUUUGUGUUGGCCUUUUGGCUUGUAUUCAGGUGGAUGUCCCAGCCAUACUUAAUGUGUCACGUUUUUGUUGCGUUUCAACUUGUUGUAACUGUUGUAUGCUUUGAAGUUUCUAUGAUUACCUGAAAGUAUUAUAAGUUCCACAAGAAGACAGUUGUAUUUUUUUGAAGUAAAAGAGCAUCCUGCAUUUUUGAUAGAACAUUAUUAUGUCAUCUAAGAGUACCUGUGAUGGUGUGUUGAAGAUGCUGUAUUUCACAAACAAGUUCUUAUAGUAGUGUAAGUUUUAUGUUUUUGUAGGUUUUACACACACACAAAAAAAAAAGUUUUGCAAGUGACAUUAGUGUACAGUUUUUCUGAAAAUAAGAGUAGGGUGGAAAGGUGAAAGUACUGUCUGUUAUUUCCUGUGAUUUUUAACAUGACAUUUUCCUUAUUCUAUUAUCAUUUAUGUACAGUAUGCUAAUAUAACGACAGUCUUUUGCAAACAGUAUUCUUUUAUUUGCAUUGGAUGCUUUACAUUACCUAUAAUUUCAUUUCCUGUCCUUUGUACACUUACAUUUCCACUUUUUUGGUUUAUUAUUAUGGACUGAUAGUUUGUGUCUUGUGCUUUGCACAACGUUAGAGGAAUGUUUAAACACCUUUUCAAACUGAAAUUUUUCAGUUUCUUCUGGUUUGAAGUCAGCAAUAUAUUUUGUUUUACUGCUUUGUAAUCUUGGAGCCCAAAGUUUGUAUUCAAUAAUUGUAAACCACUUAAACAUACUUUUUUCCCUUGAAUAUUGUAACUACAAAGAUAAUGGCAGGUGUUAGGUUCAGGUUGCCUCCCUUUUACCUAUUUUAUUUGACAGAUAACUUAGUUAUCUCACAGCCAUAUGCGCAGAUCAGCAAUGAAAUAACAAAAUAGAAGUAUUAUUCAUGCGAAAGUUUAUAAGGUUACUGUAAGAUAAUACAUGUUUUUGCAUUUUUUAAUAAACUUGCGAAAACAGGUUUUAAUACAUGCAGUUACUUAUUACUAAUGUUUAUUUACUUCUUUCCUAAAAAGGAAAAUAUGAGUAAAGAUUAAGCUGGCUUUUUCAUUUGUGUUUAAUGAAAACAUUGUUUUCAAGGACAAUUGUCUAUUAAACUGGCAUGGUCGUUUUA
Molecule: unclassified non-coding RNA, 5737 nt
Filed under: Pomacea canaliculata
Lineage: Eukaryota; Metazoa; Mollusca; Gastropoda; Architaenioglossa; Ampullariidae
Description: ras-related protein Rab-30-like, transcript variant X2
Source: RNAcentral